AUUGAACGCUGGCGGCAGGCCUAACACAUGCAAGUCGAACGAGUGGCGGACGGGUGAGUACUGUCUGGGAAACUGCCCGUUGGAGGGGGAUAACUACUGUAAACGGUAGCUAAGACCGCAUACCAUCGGAUGUGCCCAGAUGGGAGUGGCUUUGAGGUGAGGUAACGGCUCACCUGGGCGAAGAUCCCUAGCAGGUCUGAGAGGAGGACCAGCUACACUGGAACUGAGACACGGUCCAGACUCCUACGGUAGGCAGCAGUGGGGAAUCUUGCGCAAUGGGCGCAAGCCUGAUGCAGCCAUGCCGCGUGUAUGAAGAGGGCCUUCGGGUUGUAAAGUACUGUCAGCGGGGAGGCGUUACCCGAAGAAGAAGCACCGGCUAACUCCGUGCCAGCAGCCGCGGUAAUAG
RNAcentral lists this ribosomal RNA (406 nucleotides) under uncultured bacterium. RNAcentral describes it as "partial 16S ribosomal RNA". It matches the Rfam family "Bacterial small subunit ribosomal RNA", at positions 30 to 526 of the family's 1533-position model. The record is from RNAcentral.